CUCGUAGUUGAACCUUGGGUCUGGCUGGCCGGUCCGCCUCACCGCGAGUACUGGUCCGGCUGGACCUUUCCUUCUGGGGAAUCUCAUGGCCUUCACUGGCUGUGGGGGGAACCAGGACUUUUACUGUGAAAAAAUUAGAGUGUUCAAAGCAGGCCUUUGCUCGAAUACAUUAGCAUGGAAUAAUAGAAUAGGACGUGCGGUUCUAUUUUAUUGGUUUCUAGGACCGCCGUAAUGAUUAAUAGGGAUAGUCGGGGGCGUCAGUAUUCAGCUGUCAGAGGUGAAAUUCUUGGAUUUGCUGAAGACUAACUACUGCGAAAGCAUUCGCCAAGGAUGUUUUCAUUAAUCAGGGAACGAAAGUUAGGGGAUCGAAGACGAUCAGAUACCGUCGUAGUCUUAACCAUAAACUAUGCCGACUAGGGAUCGGACGGUGUUUCUAUUAUGACCCGUUCGGCACCUUACGAGAAAUCAAAGUUUUUGGGUUCUGGGGGGAGUAUGGUCGCAAGGCUGAAACUUAAAGAAAUCGACGGAAGGGCACCACCAGGCGUGGAGCCUGCGGCUUAAUUUGACUCAACACGGGGAAACUCACCAGGUCCAGACAAAAUAAGGAUUGACAGAUUGAGAG
RNAcentral lists this ribosomal RNA (622 nucleotides) under uncultured fungus. RNAcentral describes it as "SSU rRNA". It matches the Rfam family "Eukaryotic small subunit ribosomal RNA", at positions 627 to 1254 of the family's 1831-position model. The record is from RNAcentral. Lineage: Eukaryota; Fungi.